Jatropha curcas is the source of this 95-nucleotide non-coding RNA. The record is from Rfam. NCBI's taxonomy places the organism in Eukaryota, Viridiplantae, Streptophyta, Magnoliopsida, Malpighiales, Euphorbiaceae.
UUGCUAAGAUGAUGCUAUGAAUUAGUAGAAAGCGUAUUUUGAUUGCUCGAUGAAACUUCGACGUGUAUGUCGAUCCUGAGCGGUUACCUGAGCAA